Odocoileus virginianus texanus is the source of this 1947-nucleotide long non-coding RNA. RefSeq lists it as uncharacterized. The record is from RefSeq and is a predicted model, not a curated record. NCBI's taxonomy places the organism in Eukaryota, Metazoa, Chordata, Mammalia, Artiodactyla, Cervidae.
GGACGGCCGAGCGGCGGCGGGGCGGCUCGGGUUGGGCCGAGCUCUCCAGCCCUCAGAAACAUGAUAGUCACCCAGCUGACGUGUUACACGCGCAAAUUCCUAGCUCGUCUCCAGAGAUUCUCGGGGUGUCUGGGGCAGGGCCGCAGGCAUCUGCGUGACUCCGAAGUACCCUAGUGGUCGUUUCUGGCAAGAGUGUUUCCUGCACUAGACAGAGAUAAAACAGUGAACGACAGAUCUGAUCGUGCCCCCAUGGAGUUUACGUUCUAACAAAGGAAAACAGACCACGGCGUAACUAAUGGUUGUGGUAAGUGCUAUAAGGGAAAUAAACUGUGUGGAGUGAUAUAACUGGGCCGGCGUGGACUUCCUCUCACCCUGUGGAUAGGGUCAUCAAGGAAGGCCUCUUCCCCACAAGCUCAGGAGCAGGAGCUCAGGGUGCCAUAUCAGUUACUAACCCUAUUCUCACUUGCUCCACAACCAAAUUCAAGCACCCUCUUCCAUCGCUGGAGGGAGCACCACUUGGUAACACCCCUGUGUGUGGGGGAGGGGGGUGCCUUUGCAACACCUCUCAACAUUGCAAACUGGCCCAGCAAUUUGCACAGAUCCUGCUGAAUGGCCUAAUGAUAAGAAUGGGUUAAUCUUCCUGGGAGAGAUGAUUUCCUCCCCUAGGAAGUGAGGCUCCGACUGCCUUCUGUUGUCUCCUUCUCAUCCCAACCCCAUCCUGCAUUCAUGGGAGAAUACCACACACCAGCCAUAUCCCCCACGGAGCAAAAACUGCAGGAGGCCUGAGGAAUAUGUGGGGCUUUGCUCCACUCGAAUGGAAAUCCAAAGCGUCCUUUGUUCAAGGGGGGAGAAAAGCCAGUGCCUGGCUGCCUAGAUACCAGAACCACCCUAGAACUGUCUGGUCCAAGUGUUACGGUAUAAAAAAGCCGAGGGGUAGUAGUUCUUUAUGGGGCCAGCCUUUGUCAUGAUCUUAACAGGCAGGGCUCCUUCUGCCGAGGCACAGACUUGCAAAGCUUUCUGAGGGCUUGGCAGUGGCUUCUGAGCCCACACUACUUCACCUUCACUAAGGAAGUGGCCAAGAAGCAUCUCCAGUUGCUGAAAGGAGUCUGCCUAGGCCAGACAGGCUGCUCUGGUGCUUGACCUCACGUUCCCUGUUCCAUGUGCUCUCCUCUAUCCGGGAUACCCCAGCCUUGCUGCAGGAACCUUGUCCACUGCUUAAUUACUAAUAUUCGCUUAAACUACAGUUCUCAAUCCCUCUUCCAUCUCCCUACCUUUUCACAUACUUUCUUUCUUGAAGUAUGGCUGAAUUAUAAUGUGUUAAUUUCUGCUGUGCGGCACAGUGAUUCAGUUAUGUACAUGUAUACAUUCUUUUCCAUUGUGGUUUAUCACAGGAUAUUGAAUGUAGUUCUUGGUGCUCUAUAGCAGGACCUUGUUCUCUAUUCUACAUAUACCAGUUUGCAUCUGCGAAUCCCAGACUCCCAGUCCAAUCCUCUCCCAGCUCCCUCCUCCUUGGCAACCACCAGUAUGUUCUCUGUGUUCUUGAUACUGUUUCACAGACAGGUUCAUUUGUGUUAUCUUUUAGAUCCCACACGUAAGUGAUAUCAUAUGGUAUUUGUCUCUCUCUUUCUGAUUUUCUUCACUUAACAUGAAAAUCUUUAGCUGCAUCCCUUCAUAUAAUUUCCUUUUUUUCUGAUAAAUAGGAGGUUUUAAUGUAUAAAAAGUGAAUUAAGCAGCUCCUGGAACACAUAUAAUUUCUUGAUUCUGUUUUUCUCUGUGUUCAUAAUUAUCUUUCUCCAGGUGUCAACUGCCAUUCUCUGCUUCUCCCUGCAUAUUCCCUUGGUUCAAAACACUGCCCUAAUCCAAGACUGAAAUUGAGAAAACAAUUCCAUUUACAAGAGUAUCAAAAAGAAAAAAAUACUUAAGAAUAAAUUUAACCAAGGACAUCUA